This 292-nucleotide ribosomal RNA is filed under the name uncultured prokaryote. RNAcentral describes it as "partial 16S ribosomal RNA". It matches the Rfam family "Bacterial small subunit ribosomal RNA", at positions 505 to 796 of the family's 1533-position model. The record is from RNAcentral.
GUGCCAGCCGCCGCGGUAAUACGGAGGGUGCAAGCGUUAAUCGGAAUCACUGGGCGUAAAGCGCGCGUAGGCGGCGAGGUAAGUCAGAUGUGAAAGCCCCGGGCUCACCCUGGGAAUUGCAUUUGAUACUGUCUGGCUAGAGUAUGGUAGAGGGGGGUGGAAUUCCAGGUGUAGCGGUGAAAUGCGUAGAUAUCUGGAGGAACACCGGUGGCGAAGGCGACCCCCUGGACCAAUACUGACGCUGAGGUGCGAAAGCGUGCGGAGCAAACAGGAUUAGAAACCCGAGUAGUCC